CUGGAAUGUUCGCAAUGAAAGGGAAUGAAGUACUGAUACGCAGUACUACCCAGAAGAACCUUAAAAAUAUCCUGUUAAGUGAAAGAAGUCAAAUGCAAAAGAUCACAUAGGAUUACGAUUCCACUUAUAUAAAAUGCCCAGAAUUGACAAAUCCAUGGAAGCAGAAAGUAGAUUUUUGGUUGGUUAGAGGAUAGGAAGGUUGGGAGAAGUGAUAGUUAAAAGGUACAGGGUUUUGCCUGGUGUGGUGGCACAUACCUGUAAUCCUAGAGGUUCAGGAGACUGAGACAGGAGGAUCACGAGUUCAAAGACAGCCUCCGCAACAGCGAGGUGCUAAGCAACUCAGUGAGACCCUGUCUCUAAAUAAACUACAAAAUAUGGCUGGGGAUGUGGCUCAGUGGAGUGUCCCUGAGUUUGAUUCUGCUGGUUAUCAGUUCUGCUCCCUCACAUGAAGUGAAGUAUAACAUUAGAGAAGUAUGCUGAGGCAAGCAUAUAAAGCAGGGUUUAUUUAAAAGGAGGUAACAUAGACUUCUCCCUGGUGGGAGAAGGGGGCCAUAGUUGGUAUUCCGGUAUCCCAAGAAGUGAAGGUGUUCUGCCUUUUUAUAUGUCCUUGGCUUCCUUUGUUCUCCUGCUCUGUUCUCUACCCCUAUCUCUCUCCUUCCUGCUUAUGUAACUAGGCCCAGGAGGUGCUGAGUGGGAUGGCCAAAAGGUGGGAAACAGGUGGGCUGGAGUGGCAGAGGAGGAGUGAUCCAGGAAAGAAGGGGGCAGGAAGGGGGUGUGAUUAACAACUCUUUCUAGGGAGGGACAAUCCCUGGGACAGGUUACCUUAGCAACAGAUUGGAGCAGGGGCCAGUUAGCUUGAUAAGGGCCAAAGAAAGGGCUCUGAAGGAAUUAACAUUCAAUUCCUUCAUUCUCUGGGUCUGACCCUUGCCUAUCUGCCUAAUUCUGGCUUCAAUUUUAAUACCCCUCUCCCCCCCAAAAGGUAAAGGGUUUUAAAAUUGUUUUAGAUGUUGGUGGACCUUUAUUUUACUUAUUUAUAUGCAGUGCUGAGAAUAGAACCCAGUGCCUCUCCUGUGCUAGCCAAGUGCUCUACCACGGAGCCACAACUCCAGCCCCAAGGGCUUGUUUUUGAGAUGAUGAAAAUAUUAUAAAAUUGACUGGCCCAGCAUGGUGGCAUAUGCCUGUAAUCCCAGCAAUUUAGGACACUGAGACAGGAAGAUCACAAGCCUGGAUAGCACAGCAAGACCUGGGGUGUGGCUCAGUAGUAGAGGGUCUCUGGGUUCGAUCCCCAGUGAUACUGCUGGUUAUUGGUGACUGAGUUCGGCUCCCUCAAAUGUUGAAGUCUGAACCCUAGAGAAGCACAUCGAGGCAAGCAUAGAAAGCAGGGUUUAUUUAGGAAGGGGUAACAUAGACUUCUCCUGGGAGAGAGAAGGGGGCCAUCGCUGGUAUCCUGGUAUCCCAAGAAGCCAGGUGUUCUGACCUUUUUAUAUGUCCCAGGCUUCUGAUAGACCCAACCUGAUCUUUUAUUAAAAUUGGGAGCCAUCUUGCCACAAAGCCAUGAAAAGAUAAUUUCGGCUUUACUAUAAAUUACUGCAAAUUCUGAACCUGCUUGGAAUGCCUGCCCGUGCCUUGAACUCACCCAUGCCUGACUCUCUGACCAGAUAGCAGCCCUCUCUGAAACUUUAGUGACACCUCAUAAAUAUUGGCCUUCCCUGGCCAGACAACGACCCUCUCUGAGGCUCUAAUGGUCCUCAUAAAUUCUGAUGUUGGGGCCAGCAAAAAAAAAAAAAAAUGUAAACUACCAUUAGUGUGAUGCUUGUCAGAGUUCUGUUAUCUGUAACCCCCCUUUGUGUAACUUUCUGGGCUAUAAAGCUGGGCUACAGGAAAGCUGCGGCUGCUGUCUUGUUCCCGCGGUUUUGGGUGGGAGAGGCAGCCCAGAGCCGG
This 1941-nucleotide long non-coding RNA is filed under the name Marmota monax (woodchuck). The record is from RNAcentral. Lineage: Eukaryota; Metazoa; Chordata; Mammalia; Rodentia; Sciuridae.